Long non-coding RNA from Lolium rigidum, 1635 nucleotides. RefSeq lists it as uncharacterized. The record is from RefSeq and is a predicted model, not a curated record. NCBI's taxonomy places the organism in Eukaryota, Viridiplantae, Streptophyta, Magnoliopsida, Poales, Poaceae. The transcript has 3 exons.
GCGCCCGUCUUUCCCUAUGGCCGGCAGGCUCCCAUAGCAACCGUAAAUCCCGUCGCCGGCAGGCCCUGCGCCCCCAAGCGCCGCCGUCCAUGUGCCCGUCCCAGCCAACCUGUUGUUGUCGUUCUGCCAGGCUCAGCCUCCGGCCGCCGCGGUGGAGGAUCCCUGCGCCUCCUAGGCUCCCAUGUCGCACCCUCGAGAUUCGGCGCCUCCUGCGCCCCAAGUUCCAAGCCCCAGCAAGCCACACGGUUGGACUCCCAAGAGUACUUGCUUGAUCUGAAACCGCACUAGAAAGCAGAUGUAAGUCAAGCACUCAAGUUGCAGGACGGCGCUGCACCAAAGCUAGCUCUUUCUGUCUGAAGGUGUUGGAGAAGAUGGAGUACAGGUUCCUAACGCUGGCCAUGUUAACCAGAGACUCGCCGCGCUGCCCAUCCUCUGCGCCAGCGCGCCAUCCGAUUCCGCAUCACGUGGCUGAACUUCCUCUAUACUGUGAUGCUAGUCUCUUCUUUCAGGUGUUCGUUUCUUGUCAUCUUUUACCUGAAUUUCUGCUUGGCACUGACAUGAGUUUCUGAUAAGCAUCGGUUUGUACUUCCCUGUGAUAGACAUCGGAUAAGGGAUAGCAUCACAUGUGCCCUGAGAGGAAGUUAACUCAUGCUGCCUCAAGCACAAGUGCAUCGAGACCGACAGUAGUCAGUAGAUACUUCUCGUCAUGGUGCAGUUCACCAAAGAUGUCAGAUUAUGCUUUGAAGAGGUGUUGUGCAUCACCACUACAAUCUUCUCAGUAGGGUGAUCUAUUUUAAUUUUUCUAUUAGUAUAUUGCAUAUGCUAUACAUUAUAAUCUAACAAAUGCUCCAUUACUUUUUGAGCUCAUGGAGGAUUAUUCAGUGUAUGCUGAAACUGACGAGGAUCCAACUGAUGAAGAAAGAGAGGAAGUAACCAAGUCAUCCAGGAACUUUCCUAGCGGGGUUUAUUUCUACUGUUGUAGCGAACAUUUGAAUGCAGUUGCUUCUUAAAACCACUGCGAGUAUACUCUGUCAUGCCAUACGCGAACCAAGAAGGCCAAUUUAUAGUGUGACUCAUUUUAAAAGCUUGUGCAUCUCCACUAAUUUUUUUUUCUUGUGCAUCAGUAUGCCGAACAGUUUCUAGAUUCUAAAUGUUUUAUGCAUUAACCGAUUCAUUGCAGAUUGAAACUAGCUCCAUUUACAAGCACUCCACCAAGUCCGAUGAGGAGUACCUCGGUGACCUGGCCAUGUAGAACGUGAUGGAGAACGUCAACUGCUCUGACCAUAACGAAGCAGGCCAUGGGGUCCGGCACCAGGAGCUUGCUAGCCCUGACUGUGCCCUCGCCGCCCGGACGAUCAGUCGCCAGCGCUGCCGCCGGACAACAUCGAGUCGCCUCGUCGCCAACUGCUGCCGCGGUACGGCUGGACAAGAAGUACAGGUCGCGGAGACGGGCAAUACACUGCCUCAGUGUGUUCCGUGGUGCCUGUUCGUGGUGCCAGUUCUAGCGUCCUGUUUCUUCGAGUAUUCCUUUUAACAAAUGUACAAUGGGUGUACUGAUCCAUGUUUUUUUUUCCUUUGUUCUUGCUUUUGUUGCCGUUCUCCUUUUUUGUUAAUAUGAAAUGAGAUUGCAGUUGA